GAUGAACGCUGGCGGCGUGCCUAAUACAUGCAAGUCGAGCGAACGGACGAGAAGUUUCCUCCUCUGAUGUUAGCGGCGGAGGGGUGAGUACCACGUGGAUAACUUACCUAUAAGACUGGGAUAACUUCGGGAAACCGGAGCUAAUACCGGAUAAUAUUUUAAACCGCAUGGUUCAAAAGUGAAAGACGGUCUUCCUGUCACUAUUAGUUGAACCCGCGCUGCAUUAGCUAGUUGGUAAGGUAACGGCUUACCAAGGCAACGAUGCAUAGCCGACCUGAGAGGGUGAUCGGCCACACUGGAACUGAGACACGGUCCAGACUCCUACGGGAGGCAGCAGUAGGGAAUCUUCCGCAAUGGGCGAAAGCCUGACGGAGCAACGCCGCGUGAGUGAUGAAGGUCUUCGGAUCGUAAAACUCUGUUAUUAGGGAAGAACAUAUGUGUAAGUAACUGUGCACAUCUUGACGGUACCUAAUCAGAAAGCCACGGCUAACUACGUG
RNAcentral lists this ribosomal RNA (497 nucleotides) under uncultured bacterium. RNAcentral's name for it is "partial 16S ribosomal RNA". It matches the Rfam family "Bacterial small subunit ribosomal RNA", at positions 28 to 507 of the family's 1533-position model. The record is from RNAcentral.